This 571-nucleotide ribosomal RNA is filed under the name uncultured bacterium. RNAcentral's name for it is "partial 16S ribosomal RNA". It matches the Rfam family "Bacterial small subunit ribosomal RNA", at positions 355 to 919 of the family's 1533-position model. The record is from RNAcentral.
UGGGGAAUUUUGGACAAUGGGCGAAAGCCUGAUCCAGCAAUGCCGCGUGUGUGAAGAAGGCCUUCGGGUUGUAAAGCACUUUUGUCCGGAAAGAAAUCCUUGGCUCUAAUACAGUCGGGGGAUGACGGUACCGGAAGAAUAAGCACCGGCUAACUACGUGCCAGCAGCCGCGGUAAUACGUAGGGUGCAAGCGUUAAUCGGAAUUACUGGGCGUAAAGCGUGCGCAGGCGGUUUGCUAAGACCGAUGUGAAAUCCCCGGGCUCAACCUGGGAACUGCAUUGGUGACUGGCAGGCUAGAGUAUGGCAGAGGGGGGUAGAAUUCCACGUGUAGCAGUGAAAUGCGUAGAGAUGUGGAGGAAUACCGAUGGCGAAGGUAGCCCCCUGGGCCAAUACUGACGCUCAUGCACGAAAGCGUGGGGAGCAAACAGGAUUAGAUACCCUGGUAGUCCACGCCCUAAACGAUGUCAACUAGUUGUUGGGGAUUCAUUUCCUUAGUAACGUAGCUAACGCGUGAAGUUGACCGCCUGGGGAGUACGGUCGCAAGAUUAAAACUUAAAUGAAUUGACGGGGU